This 76-nucleotide transfer RNA is filed under the name Clostridiales bacterium. RNAcentral describes it as "tRNA-Gln". It matches the Rfam family "tRNA". Rfam says of the family: Transfer RNA (tRNA) molecules are approximately 80 nucleotides in length. Their secondary structure includes four short double-helical elements and three loops (D, anti-codon, and T loops). Lineage: Bacteria; Bacillati; Bacillota; Clostridia; Eubacteriales. The record is from RNAcentral.
UGGGGUGUAGCCAAGCGGUAAGGCAACGGACUUUGACUCCGUCACUGCGCUGGUUCGAAUCCAGCCAUCCCAGCCA